RNAcentral lists this ribosomal RNA (1453 nucleotides) under uncultured organism. RNAcentral describes it as "16S ribosomal RNA". It matches the Rfam family "Bacterial small subunit ribosomal RNA". The record is from RNAcentral.
ACGAACGCUGGCGGCGUGCCUAAUACAUGCAAGUAGAACGCUGAAGAGAGGAGCUUGCUCUUCUUGGAUGAGUUGCGAACGGGUGAGUAACGCGUAGGUAACCUGCCUUGUAGCGGGGGAUAACUAUUGGAAACGAUAGCUAAUACCGCAUAACAAUGGAUGACACAUGUCAUUUAUUUGAAAGGGGCAAAUGCUCCACUACAAGAUGGACCUGCGUUGUAUUAGCUAGUAGGUGAGGUAACGGCUCACCUAGGCGACGAUACAUAGCCGACCUGAGAGGGUGAUCGGCCACACUGGGACUGAGACACGGCCCAGACUCCUACGGGAGGCAGCAGUAGGGAAUCUUCGGCAAUGGGGGCAACCCUGACCGAGCAACGCCGCGUGAGUGAAGAAGGUUUUCGGAUCGUAAAGCUCUGUUGUAAGUCAAGAACGAGUGUGAGAGUGGAAAGUUCACACUGUGACGGUAGCUUACCAGAAAGGGACGGCUAACUACGUGCCAGCAGCCGCGGUAAUACGUAGGUCCCGAGCGUUGUCCGGAUUUAUUGGGCGUAAAGCGAGCGCAGGCGGUUUGAUAAGUCUGAAGUUAAAGGCUGUGGCUCAACCAUAGUUCGCUUUGGAAACUGUCAAACUUGAGUGCAGAAGGGGAGAGUGGAAUUCCAUGUGUAGCGGUGAAAUGCGUAGAUAUAUGGAGGAACACCGGUGGCGAAAGCGGCUCUCUGGUCUGUAACUGACGCUGAGGCUCGAAAGCGUGGGGAGCGAACAGGAUUAGAUACCCUGGUAGUCCACGCCGUAAACGAUGAGUGCUAGGUGUUGGAUCCUUUCCGGGAUUCAGUGCCGCAGCUAACGCAUUAAGCACUCCGCCUGGGGAGUACGACCGCAAGGUUGAAACUCAAAGGAAUUGACGGGGGCCCGCACAAGCGGUGGAGCAUGUGGUUUAAUUCGAAGCAACGCGAAGAACCUUACCAGGUCUUGACAUCCCGAUGCUAUUUCUAGAGAUAGAAAGUUACUUCGGUACAUCGGUGACAGGUGGUGCAUGGUUGUCGUCAGCUCGUGUCGUGAGAUGUUGGGUUAAGUCCCGCAACGAGCGCAACCCCUAUUGUUAGUUGCCAUCAUUCAGUUGGGCACUCUAGCGAGACUGCCGGUAAUAAACCGGAGGAAGGUGGGGAUGACGUCAAAUCAUCAUGCCCCUUAUGACUUGGGCUACACACGUGCUACAAUGGUUGGUACAACGAGUUGCGAGUCGGUGACGGCAAGCUAAUCUCUUAAAGCCAAUCUCAGUUCGGAUUGUAGGCUGCAACUCGCCUACAUGAAGUCGGAAUCGCUAGUAAUCGCGGAUCAGCACGCCGCGGUGAAUACGUUCCCGGGCCUUGUACACACCGCCCGUCACACCACGAGAGUUUGUAACACCCGAAGUCGGUGAGGUAACCUUUUGGAGCCAGCCGCCUAAGGUGGG